This 440-nucleotide ribosomal RNA is filed under the name uncultured bacterium. Its description in RNAcentral is "partial 16S ribosomal RNA". It matches the Rfam family "Bacterial small subunit ribosomal RNA", at positions 338 to 795 of the family's 1533-position model. The record is from RNAcentral.
CCUACGGGUGACAGCAGUAGGGAAUUUUGCGCAAUGGGCGAAAGCCUGACGCAGCAACGCCGCGUGAUCGAGACGCCCUUCGGGGUGUAAAGAUCUGUCAGUGGGGACGAAACUUGACGGUACCCACAGAGGAAGCACCGGCUAACUCCGUGCCAGCAGCCGCGGUAAUACGGGGGGUGCCAGCGUUGUCCGGAAUCAUUGGGCGUAAAGCGUUCGUAGGCGGCUGGUAAAGUCUGGUGUUAAAGUAAGAGGCUCAACUUCUGUACGGCACUGGAGACUGGCGGGCUAGAAUGCGGUAGAGGUAAAGGGAAUGCCUGGUGUAGCGGUGAAAUGCUUAGAUAUCAGGAGGAACAUCGGUGGCGUAGGCGGGUUACUGGGCCGUAAUUGACGCUGAGGAACGAAAGCCAGGGUAGCAAAUGGGAUUAGAUACCCCGGUAGUC